RNAcentral lists this ribosomal RNA (484 nucleotides) under uncultured bacterium. RNAcentral's name for it is "partial 16S ribosomal RNA". It matches the Rfam family "Bacterial small subunit ribosomal RNA", at positions 28 to 507 of the family's 1533-position model. The record is from RNAcentral.
AUUGAACGCUGGCGGCAUGCUUUACACAUGCAAGUCGAACGGCAGCGCGGGCUUCGGCCUGGCGGCGAGUGGCGAACGGGUGAGUAAUGCAUCGGAACGUGCCCAGUAGUGGGGGAUAGCCCGGCGAAAGCCGGAUUAAUACCGCAUACGACCUGAGGGUGAAAGCGGGGGACCGAAAGGCCUCGCGCUAUUGGAGCGGCCGAUGUCGGGUUAGCUAGUUGGUGGGGGAAAGGCUUACCAAGGCGACGAUCCGUAGCUGGUCUGAGAGGACGACCAGCCACACGGGGACGGAGACACGGCCCAGACUCCUACGGGAGGCAGCAGUGGGGAAUUUUGGACAAUGGGGGCAACCCUGAUCCAGCCAUGCCGCGUGCGGGAAGAAGGCCUUCGGGUUGUAAACCGCUUUUGUUCGGGAAGAAAUCCUCUGGGCUAAUACCCCGGGGGGAUGACGGUACCGGAAGAAUAAGCACCGGCUAACUACGUG